Xenopus laevis (African clawed frog) is the source of this 283-nucleotide long non-coding RNA. RefSeq lists it as uncharacterized. The transcript has 4 exons. The record is from RefSeq and is a predicted model, not a curated record. Lineage: Eukaryota; Metazoa; Chordata; Amphibia; Anura; Pipidae.
GGGAUUGGUGUUGGGGUUAGUGUUAGGACUUAGGGUUGGAAAAAGAUAGGGUUAGGGUUGAAAAAAGAUAGGGUUGGAAAGAUUGAGGGCUGCUGUGAUUUCUCGGGGUUGUGGCCGUACAGGGUUAUAGGGAUGGGCGAAGAUUUUGGUACUUUGGUACCAAAGGUGGGGGCGAGUGUGAGGAGGGAUUGGUGUUGGGGUUAGUGUUAGGACUUAGGGUUGGAAAAAGAUAGGGUUAGGGUUGAAUAAAAGAUAGGGUUGGAAAGAUUGAGGGCUGCUGUGA